Molecule: transfer RNA, 71 nt
Filed under: Fukomys damarensis (Damara mole-rat)
Lineage: Eukaryota; Metazoa; Chordata; Mammalia; Rodentia; Bathyergidae
Rfam family: tRNA
About the family: Transfer RNA (tRNA) molecules are approximately 80 nucleotides in length. Their secondary structure includes four short double-helical elements and three loops (D, anti-codon, and T loops). Further hydrogen bonds mediate the characteristic L-shaped molecular structure. tRNAs have two regions of fundamental functional importance: the anti-codon, which is responsible for specific mRNA codon recognition, and the 3' end, to which the tRNAs corresponding amino acid is attached (by aminoacyl-tRNA synthetases). tRNAs cope with the degeneracy of the genetic code in two manners: having more than one tRNA (with a specific anti-codon) for a particular amino acid; and 'wobble' base-pairing, i.e. permitting non-standard base-pairing at the 3rd anti-codon position.
Source: Rfam by way of RNAcentral
GCAGGUGUAGCUCAGUGGCAGAGUGUGUGCUUAGUAUGUGCAAGGCCUGGGGUUCAAACCCUGCCCCUCCC